This 497-nucleotide ribosomal RNA is filed under the name uncultured bacterium. Its description in RNAcentral is "partial 16S ribosomal RNA". It matches the Rfam family "Bacterial small subunit ribosomal RNA", at positions 28 to 507 of the family's 1533-position model. The record is from RNAcentral.
GAUGAACGCUGGCGGCGUGCCUAAUACAUGCAAGUCGAGCGAACGGACGAGAAGCUUGCUUCUCUGAUGUUAGCGGCGGACGGGUGAGUAACACGUGGAUAACCUACCUAUAAUACUGGGAUAACUUCGGGAAACCGGAGCUAAUACCGGAUGAUAUUUUGAACCGCAUGGUUCAAAAGUGAAAGACGGUCUUGCUGUCACUUCUAGAUGGAUCCGCGCUGCAUGAGCUAGUUGGUAAGGUAACGGCUUACCAAGGCAACGAUGCAUAGCCGACCUGAGAGGGGGAUCGGCCACACUGGAACUGAGACACGCUCCAGACUCCUACGGGACGCAGCAGUAGGGAAUCUUCCGCAAUGGGCGAAAGCCUGACGGAGCAACGCCGAGUGAGUGAUGAAGGUCUUCGGAUCGUAAAACUCUGUUAUUAGGGAAGAACAUAUGUGUACGUAACUGUGCACAUAUUGACGGUACCUAAUCAGAAAGCAACGGCUAACUACGUG